Molecule: transfer RNA, 72 nt
Filed under: bacterium
Lineage: Bacteria
Description: tRNA-Gln
Rfam family: tRNA
About the family: Transfer RNA (tRNA) molecules are approximately 80 nucleotides in length.
Source: RNAcentral
UGGGGCGUAGACAAGUGGCAAGUCACCAGUUUUUGGUACUGGCAUUCGCAGGUUCGAAUCCUGCCGCCCCAU